This 635-nucleotide ribosomal RNA is filed under the name Papiliotrema flavescens. RNAcentral's name for it is "LSU rRNA". It matches the Rfam family "Eukaryotic large subunit ribosomal RNA", at positions 43 to 667 of the family's 3401-position model. The record is from RNAcentral. Lineage: Eukaryota; Fungi; Basidiomycota; Tremellomycetes; Tremellales; Rhynchogastremaceae.
UCAAUAAGCGGAGGAAAAGAAACUAACAAGGAUUCCCCUAGUAACGGCGAGUGAACCGGGAAGAGCUCAAAUUUGAAAUCUGGCGUGCUCAGUGCGUCCGAGUUGUAAUCUAUAGAGUCGUUUUCCGUGCCGGACUGUGUCCAAGUCCCUUGGAACAGGGUAUCAAAGAGGGUGAUAAUCCCGUACUUGACACAAUGACCGGUGCUCUGUGAUACGUCUUCUACGAGUCGAGUUGUUUGGGAAUGCAGCUCAAAAUGGGUGGUGAGUUCCAUCUAAAGCUAAAUAUUGGCGAGAGACCGAUAGCGAACAAGUACCGUGAGGGAAAGAUGAAAAGCACUUUGGAAAGAGAGUUAAACAGUACGUGAAAUUGUUAAAAGGGAAACGAUUGAAGUCAGUCGUGACUGAGAGGCUCAGCCGGUUCUGCCGGUGUAUUCCCCUCAGUCGGGUCAACAUCAGUUUUGUUCGGUGGAUAAGGGCAGUUGGAAGGUGGCACCCUCGGGUGUGUUAUAGCCAGCUGUCGCAUACAUCGGAUGAGACUGAGGAAUGCAGCUCGCCUUUAUGGCCGGGGUUCGCCCACGUUCGAGCUUAGGAUGUUGACAUAAUGGCUUUAAACGACCCGUCUUGAAACACGGACC